AGUCAUGCUACAGCCAAUGCCCUUUUGCAGCUGAGACUUACAGGAAAGAGAUCUCAUUCAGUAGGAGUACUGAGACCUGAGGCUGGUGGUGCCAGGAGGAGGCAGGGAUAGGGAGGGCUUUGCAGCAGCUGUAGAUAGGCCUGGAAGAAUGGGUAAAUUCAGACAGAUUUGUGAAGGCACAGUUCACCAUCUGUGAAAGGGGGAGAUGAUCAAUCGGAUUGAGAAGAACAUCCUGAGCUCAGCGGACUACGUGGAACGCGGGCAAGAGCACGUCAAGACGGCCCUGGAGAACCAGAAGAAGGCGAGGAAGGUGAGCCUCCCAGGCCCGGCCACUGUCCCAGGCACCCUGUGUGUCUUCCCUGACCCCCUCCUCUCCCACAGAAGAAAGUCUUGAUUGCCAUCUGUGUGUCCAUCACCGUCGUCCUCCUAGCAGUCAUCAUUGGCAUCACAGUGGUUGGAUAAUGUCGCACAUUGUUGUAGAGACGGGGUUUCACCGUGUUAGCCAGGAUGGUCUCGAUCUCCUGACCUCGUGAUCCGCCCGCCUCAGCUUCCCACAGUGCUGGGAUUACAGGCGUGAGCCACCGCGCCCGGCCCCCCGACACCUAGUUUUAAAGGGCCCUUGCUGUUGCUGCCGCUGCCGCCGCUCCCAGCUGCCCAGUCUGGUGGGCUCAGUCCCGCGUUGCCAUGCGUGGGAGACCGCGUCGCCUAAGCGCUGGAUGUGGCUUCGCUGAUGCACAUUGGACCGGGCUCUGGACUGGGCUAGGGGAAGGGCAGGAGGGCGGAAUUGGGCCCGAGGGCCAGGCCUGGCCGACCCCCAACUGCGCCUCCCGGUGCCCCGCAGCGCCUCCCGGUGGCCCUGGAGUGCAGGUUGUACCGUCCGAGAUCGCCCGCAACUGGGCGAGCUGUGCAUGGGGCGUGGCUGAGGCCGUGGUUUGGUUACGAUUGGCCAGCGGGACUUAAGUGUUGUCUCUGAAGAGCAUGGACGUUAGUUUGGAGGGUCCUGGGAGAGUGAUCCCCGUCCCACCAUCAAAUGGCGCUUAGGUCUAGGAAGCGGGUGUGGGCGGGGCCUUAGGGCGAGGCGCAGACACACCCCGAAGUGGUUGGAUUGUAUACCGCAAGGGGCUGGAUCGAAUCCCCCAAAGACACUGGAAGGCUGUGUGGCUGAGGAGGGCCCGGCAGAUCCAGUGUGUUGUGGGCUUUAUAGGAAAGAGCUCCACCUUCUCUGGAGUGUGCAGAUGCGAUCUAGGUGUGUCCACCCGAUGGGAGCUGCGGGCCAGGCUGAUGCUGCCCCAGUACAAAGCUGAUUUGGACCUGGGGUCUCUGGACUUCCCUGAUUCUCUGCUUGCAUCUCCAGCAAAAUCCUGUCCCGUUGGCUGCCUUCAUCCACUCUCUCACCUCUCUGCCUUCAGAGUAAAAUUGCAAGAUCUGUGGUGCUUACUGGGAUCUGA
RNAcentral lists this small RNA (1448 nucleotides) under Pongo abelii (Sumatran orangutan). RNAcentral's name for it is "processed transcript". The record is from RNAcentral. Lineage: Eukaryota; Metazoa; Chordata; Mammalia; Primates; Hominidae.